AAGUCGUAACAAGGUUUCCGUAGGUGAACCUGCGGAAGGAUCAUUAAAAGUAGAUUGGUUAUACAUUUCAUGAGUACUCAACCUAGCAAUUUAACCCCAUUCCAGAUGUCACCCUUUGGCCCUGUUGCUUGACCCAUGGGGGCCCUCGACCCUAGGGUCACCUCUUGAUGAAUGUCGAAAACCCAAUGAGAGUCCCCAUGGGGAGGUUAAUCAUUAAAUUCAAUGUAUCCAAAUGUCUUCUGGUCUGAACUGUUUAACAAUGUUAAAA
RNAcentral lists this unclassified non-coding RNA (268 nucleotides) under plant metagenome. RNAcentral describes it as "partial contains small subunit ribosomal RNA and internal transcribed spacer 1". The stretch from base 1 to 46 matches the Rfam family "Eukaryotic small subunit ribosomal RNA", at positions 1786 to 1831 of the family's 1831-position model. The record is from RNAcentral.